AGGUAUCUUUGCUCUCUUGAUAGUGUGGUGUGCAUAGGUUUCUACAGCACCUAACUGUACUUUUGUCUUUUAUUUAAAUCAGCAGAACAGUUGCUGCUUUUAAUACAUCAAUGUGGAACGUCUUCACAAAUAUGUGUUACUGUGCUUAUUGCAAAUCUGUUGUAGAUGGUGCACCUGUUGUCUAUGUGCUAUGUCAGAAGAGCAUAUGCAUAUUUGAAGACCAGAGAGAGGAAAAAAAUUAGUAUGUUGCUGUUCUUUCCUUGUUAAAGCUGAUAUACAUCUAAUAUAGAAAAGUCCAUGCUGCAGUCAUGAACUUUAAACUAGGAGGCUGAAGAAUUUUUAUAUUGCAUUAUCAGAGAAAUAAAGUAUGGUUUAUAUAUUUGUAGAGGAGGAAGGUAAAUACUGUGGUAUUUACUAUAAUUUUUAAGCUCCAUCAGUAAUGAAAGUCUUUAAUUGUAUUAAACGUAAGUCUUAUUUUAAAGGCUUUGUCAUAAUUUCUUGUUACUUCUCAUGAAUGCUUCAUCAACCAUCAUAGUUUUGUAAAGUAAUUUCUGUGUAGUAAUCAGAAGUCAUUGUGGAGAACCGUAAUCAGAAUAAAAACCAGUUUAUACUUUGUGGGCAAAUGAUAAUUAGUUGACUAAGAAGAAGCAAAAAAGCAUUACACAAUCUCAUGAAAACCAAAAAGAAGGGGCAAAAGUAGAGAAGGCUGAAUGCUUGCUUAUCUUUGUUGUUAAUAUAUAAUUUACUUUCAGUUCAUGACUUCUGAACUGCACUGACUUCAUUGCUGUCCUUCUAUUGAAUGGUCUGAAUGUCCUUCUGGCAUAAAAUAGGUUAGUCCUUGUUUUAAAUGUGCACAAAUGUACGUUUACUCCACUGGAGAAGAAAUAAGAUGACAACUAGAGAUGUUCAUGUUUGGAAAGAGUAGAAAGGAGUUUUAUAUGGGUAUUGCCUUUGUAUUUUGAUAAUGCUAUGUGAUGCUUUCUCAUUGCAUGACUCCUACAGGAGGGUGGUGGUGGGUUAUGUGAAGACAAAUGUUUUGGGAACAAAAUAGCCCUUUUGUGCUAAAGCUGGAAGAGGUUUCUGGCUCUUCUAUUUUAUCCCCCCCGCCAAAGAAUUUCAAGAAAACUGCUGACACUGACAAAAGAGGAAAAUAUGAUUUAUGAUGACAUCAUGUAUUACCCAAGCAAAUUUGUUUUGAGGAGGAUUAUUUUUUAUAUGAUGUGUCGAAAUAAAGAAAAUGUGAAUCA
RNAcentral lists this long non-coding RNA (1247 nucleotides) under Strigops habroptila (Kakapo). RNAcentral's name for it is "lncRNA (ENSSHBG00005020785.1)". The record is from RNAcentral. Lineage: Eukaryota; Metazoa; Chordata; Aves; Psittaciformes; Psittacidae.